This 815-nucleotide ribosomal RNA is filed under the name Escherichia coli. Its description in RNAcentral is "partial 23S ribosomal RNA". It matches the Rfam family "Bacterial large subunit ribosomal RNA", at positions 2034 to 2843 of the family's 2925-position model. Lineage: Bacteria; Pseudomonadati; Pseudomonadota; Gammaproteobacteria; Enterobacterales; Enterobacteriaceae. The record is from RNAcentral.
CAGUGAAAUUGAACUCGCUGUGAAGAUGCAGUGUACCCGCGGCAAGACGGAAAGACCCCGUGAACCUUUACUAUAGCUUGACACUGAACAUUGAGCCUUGAUGUGUAGGAUAGGUGGGAGGCUUUGAAGUGUGGACGCCAGUCUGCAUGGAGCCGACCUUGAAAUACCACCCUUUAAUGUUUGAUGUUCUAACGUUGACCCGUAAUCCGGGUUGCGGACAGUGUCUGGUGGGUAGUUUGACUGGGGCGGUCUCCUCCUAAAGAGUAACGGAGGAGCACGAAGGUUGGCUAAUCCUGGUCGGACAUCAGGAGGUUAGUGCAAUGGCAUAAGCCAGCUUGACUGCGAGCGUGACGGCGCGAGCAGGUGCGAAAGCAGGUCAUAGUGAUCCGGUGGUUCUGAAUGGAAGGGCCAUCGCUCAACGGAUAAAAGGUACUCCGGGGAUAACAGGCUGAUACCGCCCAAGAGUUCAUAUCGACGGCGGUGUUUGGCACCUCGAUGUCGGCUCAUCACAUCCUGGGGCUGAAGUAGGUCCCAAGGGUAUGGCUGUUCGCCAUUUAAAGUGGUACGCGAGCUGGGUUUAGAACGUCGUGAGACAGUUCGGUCCCUAUCUGCCGUGGGCGCUGGAGAACUGAGGGGGGCUGCUCCUAGUACGAGAGGACCGGAGUGGACGCAUCACUGGUGUUCGGGUUGUCAUGCCAAUGGCACUGCCCGGUAGCUAAAUGCGGAAGAGAUAAGUGCUGAAAGCAUCUAAGCACGAAACUUGCCCCGAGAUGAGUUCUCCCUGACUCCUUGAGAGUCCUGAAGGAACGUUGAAG